Molecule: ribosomal RNA, 322 nt
Filed under: uncultured eukaryote
Lineage: Eukaryota
Description: partial 18S ribosomal RNA
Rfam family: Eukaryotic small subunit ribosomal RNA
Source: RNAcentral
CCCUUAGAUGUUCUGGGCCGCACGCGUGCUACACUGAGUGGAUCAGCGGGUCAGGUUGCGCGAAAGUGUUUCCUAAUCUGGAAAUCCGCUCGUGAUGGGGAUUGACGGUUGCAAUUUUCCGUCAUGAACGAGGAAUACCUUGUAAGCGCGGGUCAUCAUCCCGCGCUGAAUACGUCCCUGCCCUUUGUACACACCGCCCGUCGCUCCUACCGAUUGAGUGGUCCGGUGAGGCUUUGGGAUCUGAGCGGAAAGAGCGUUUCGCUGUUUCUGCUCGGAAAACUCAGUCGAACCUUAUCAUUUAGAGGAAGGAGAAGUCGUAACA